Molecule: ribosomal RNA, 466 nt
Filed under: uncultured bacterium
Lineage: Bacteria
Description: partial 16S ribosomal RNA
Rfam family: Bacterial small subunit ribosomal RNA
Source: RNAcentral
ACGAACGCUGGCGGCGUGCUUAACACAUGCAAGUCGCACGGAAAGGCUCCAGCUUGCUGGAGUGCUCGAGUGGCGAACGGGUGAGUAACACGUGGGCAAUCUGCCCUGCACUCUGGGAUAAGCCUGGGAAACUGGGUCUAAUACCGGAUAGGACCUUUCUCCUCAUGGGGUUUGGUGGAAAGUUUUUCGGUGCAGGAUGAGCCCGCGGCCUAUCAGCUUGUUGGUGGGGUAAUGGCCUACCAAGGCGACGACGGGUAGCCGGCCUGAGAGGGUGAUCGGCCACAUUGGGACUGAGAUACGGCCCAGACUCCUACGGGAGGCAGCAGUGGGGAAUAUUGCACAAUGGGCGAAAGCCUGAUGCAGCGACGCCGCGUGAGGGAUGACGGCCUUCGGGUUGUAAACCUCUUUCAGUAGGGACGAAGCGCAAGUGACGGUACCUGCAGAAGAAGCACCGGCUAACUACGUG